Pteropus alecto (black flying fox) is the source of this 746-nucleotide long non-coding RNA. RefSeq lists it as uncharacterized. The transcript has 3 exons. The record is from RefSeq and is a predicted model, not a curated record. NCBI's taxonomy places the organism in Eukaryota, Metazoa, Chordata, Mammalia, Chiroptera, Pteropodidae.
UGUGGUUUCUGCAUAUGGUAUUCAAGAUGGAACUCACUGUGGGAGGGCUGAGGUGUUAUUCUGGUUGUAUGAUAGACAAUAGCUCAGGGAUCCUCUCAUCAUUCUUCCCUCAACCACUCCCGUGGCAAAGAUCCAAAUUCUCAUAUUUCCACUAAAAGCUUUCCCCGAUCAGCUUUCAAGUCCUCUGGUUUGUAUUUCGACUUUCCAGACAAAUAAUCACAAGGUGUCCCUGGAGAGGCUGUGGGUGAUGAGCACUUGGCAGAGGUUAGGAUGCUCUUCGCAGAGAAACACUUCCAUGGGAAGGAGACAGAAACAGUUUGGAGUCUAUUCGUCAUGGUUUGGUGUCCUGCGGAUUUCACUGGAAUGAAUCAAUAAGAAAACCAGGCUGGGAGAUGUGAAAUAACUUUCCCAAGGUCAAAAGGCUGGUGAGUAGAGGAGCCAGGAUGCAAAUGGAAGCCUCUCUGACUCUAGGAACCUACGCUUUGAAAACCAUCACCAAAUGUUGGUUGACUAUUGAUUAACCUUGUGCCAGAAUCUGGGAGAAUUUUACAACAAUCGUAAAGCCUAAGAAGCUGAUCUGGAAAACAUCAUUGGAAUCUGUUUAUUCUGUGCUAUGCCAACCAGAACAAAGAUGGGACAAACCACCUUUUUGUCUGUCACAGAAGAUCUGUACCAAAUGAAAAAAUGGGCAGUCUUCUCUCCCCUGUGUUGGUGCUUUCUCUUGAAGCAGCCAGUGUUGUCUCUGU